AGGCGGAUAGCUCAACGGGAGAGCGUCGGGAGGACGUGCCGAAGGUUGAGGGUUCGAAUCCCUCUUCGCCUA
Molecule: transfer RNA, 72 nt
Filed under: Burkholderiales bacterium
Lineage: Bacteria; Pseudomonadati; Pseudomonadota; Betaproteobacteria; Burkholderiales
Description: tRNA-Val
Rfam family: tRNA
About the family: Transfer RNA (tRNA) molecules are approximately 80 nucleotides in length.
Source: RNAcentral